Molecule: ribosomal RNA, 508 nt
Filed under: uncultured bacterium
Lineage: Bacteria
Description: partial 16S ribosomal RNA
Rfam family: Bacterial small subunit ribosomal RNA
Source: RNAcentral
AUUGAACGCUGGCGGCAUGCCUUACACAUGCAAGUCGAACGGCAGCGGGGGAGAAGCUUGCUUUUCCUGCCGGCGAGUGGCGAACGGGUGAGUAAUACAUCGGAACGUGCCCUGUAGUGGGGGAUAACUAGUCGAAAGAUUAGCUAAUACCGCAUACGACCUGAGGGUGAAAGUGGGGGACCGCAAGGCCUCAUGCUAUAGGAGCGGCCGAUGUCUGAUUAGCUAGUUGGUGGGGUAAAGGCCUACCAAGGCGACGAUCAGUAGCUGGUCUGAGAGGACGAUCAGCCACACGGGGACUGAGACACGGCCAAGACUCCUACGGGAGGCAGCAGUGGGGAAUUUUGGACAAUGGGCGAAAGCCUGAUCCAGCAAUGCCGCGUGUGUGAAGAAGGCCUUCGGGUUGUAAAGCACUUUUGUCCGGAAAGAAAUGGCUCUGGUUAAUACCUGGGGUCGAUGACGGUACCGUAAGAAGAAGCACCGGCUAACUACGUGCCAGCAGCCGCCGUAA